RNAcentral lists this ribosomal RNA (516 nucleotides) under uncultured fungus. RNAcentral describes it as "eukaryotic LSU rRNA". The stretch from base 155 to 308 matches the Rfam family "5.8S ribosomal RNA". The record is from RNAcentral. Lineage: Eukaryota; Fungi.
CAUGCCCUUACGGGUAGAUCUCCCACCCUUUGUAUACUAUACCUUUGUUGCUUUGGCGGGCCGCCUAGCUACUGGCUUCGGCUGGUAUGUGCCCGCCAGAGGACCCAAAACCCUGAAUUAUUAGUGUCGUCUGAGUAAAAUAUUUAAUAUUUAAAACUUUCAACAACGGAUCUCUUGGCUCUGGCAUCGAUGAAGAACGCAACGAAAUGCGAUAAGUAAUGUGAAUUGCAGAAUUCAGUGAAUCAUCGAAUCUUUGAACGCACAUUGCGCCCCUUGGUAUUCCGAGGGGCAUGCCUAUUCGAGCGUCAUUAUCACCCCUCAAGCCUAGCUUGGUGUUGAGGCCUGCUGUCAAGGCAGCCUCUAAAAUCAGUGGCAGUGCUGUCAGGCUCUAAGCGUAGUAAAUCUAAUCGCUAUAGACACCUGGUGGACACUCGCCAGAACCCCCCCAUUUUUUAAUGAUUGACCUCGGAUUAGGUAGGGAUACCCCGCCGAACUUAAACCUAUCAAUAAGCGGAA